Molecule: ribosomal RNA, 502 nt
Filed under: uncultured bacterium
Lineage: Bacteria
Description: bacterial SSU rRNA
Rfam family: Bacterial small subunit ribosomal RNA
Source: RNAcentral
GAUGAACGCUAGCUACAGGCUUAACACAUGCAAGUCGAGGGGAAACGAUAUUGGAAGCUUGCUUCUGAUAGGCGUCGACCGGCGCACGGGUGAGUAACGCGUAUCCAACCUGCCCAUCACUUGGGGAUAACCUUGUGAAAGUAAGACUAAUACCCAAUGACGUCUCUAGAAGACAUCUGAAAGAGAUUAAAGAUUUAUCGGUGAUGGAUGGGGAUGCGUCUGAUUAGCUUGUUGGCGGGGUAACGGCCCACCAAGGCGACGAUCAGUAGGGGUUCUGAGAGGAAGGUCCCCCCACAUUGGAACUGAGACACGGUCCAAACUCCUACGGGAGGCAGCAGUGAGGAAUAUUGGUCAAUGGACGAGAGUCUGAACCAGCCAAGUAGCGUGCAGGAUGACGGCCCUAUGGGUUGUAAACUGCUUUUAUAAGGGAAUAAAGUGGGAGUCGUGACUCUUUUUGCAUGUACCUUAUGAAUAAGGACCGGCUAAUUCCGUGCCAGCAGCC